AACGAACGCUGGCGGCAGGCUUAACACAUGCAAGUCGAACGGGUGCAGCAAUGCAUCAGUGGCAGACGGGUGAGUAACACGUGGGAACCUUCCUCGUUGUACGGAACAACUCAGGGAAACUUGAGCUAAUACCGUAUACGUCCGAGAGGAGAAAGAUUUAUCGCAAUGAGACGGGCCCGCGUCGGAUUAGCUAGUUGGUAAGGUAACGGCUUACCAAGGCGACGAUCCGUAGCUGAUCUGAGAGGAUGAUCAGCCACACUGGGACUGAGACACGGCCCAGACUCCUACGGGAGGCAGCAGUGGGGAAUCUUGGACAAUGGGCGCAAGCCUGAUCCAGCCAUGCCGCGUGAGUGAAGAAGGCCUUCGGGUUGUAAAGCUCUUUUGUCAGGGACGAUAAUGACGGUACCUGAAGAAUAAGCCCCGGCAAACUUCGUGCCAGCCGCCGCCGUAA
Molecule: ribosomal RNA, 451 nt
Filed under: uncultured bacterium
Lineage: Bacteria
Description: partial 16S ribosomal RNA
Rfam family: Bacterial small subunit ribosomal RNA
Source: RNAcentral